AAGGGAGACCUAAUUCAGGUAUGGGACGAAAAAAAAGUAGUCGCUACCAAGAAUCAAUCCCAAAAGGUCGGAGCGAGGUAUGAGGCUUUCAAACUAGGUUCUGGGUUCAAACAAGACCUGAAUCAGGAACAAGGGCUAUUAGCUCAGGUGGUUAGAGCGCACCCCUGAUAAGGGUGAGGUCCCUGGUUCGAGUCCAGGAUGGCCCACCUGCACAGGUGGCAAAAACAAGAGAAGCUCCGAAUCAGCACCUUAUCUUAUAUACAUAUAUAAGAGAGAAUGCUGGCUCUGAGUAAAGAGUCCAGAGGAACCUUGAAAACUGCAUAGAGCUAGGUGAAAAAGCCAAAAAAGAAGACCGCAA
This 358-nucleotide transfer RNA is filed under the name uncultured Microcystis sp. RNAcentral describes it as "partial 16S-23S ribosomal RNA intergenic spacer". The stretch from base 133 to 206 matches the Rfam family "tRNA". The record is from RNAcentral. Lineage: Bacteria; Bacillati; Cyanobacteriota; Cyanophyceae; Chroococcales; Microcystaceae.